This is a long non-coding RNA of Xiphophorus hellerii (green swordtail), 931 nucleotides long. RefSeq lists it as uncharacterized. Lineage: Eukaryota; Metazoa; Chordata; Actinopteri; Cyprinodontiformes; Poeciliidae. The record is from RefSeq and is a predicted model, not a curated record. The transcript has 2 exons.
CAUCUGGCAGCUCCGGUAAAAAGGCACCGGGAGGCCCACGUUUACCGUCAAAAACGCAGACCGGAGAGGGAUAACGACUAAUACCUGCUUCUCACUCGCUGUAAUAAAUCAUGGUGUGGUUGAGAGAGGAAGAGAGAAAGCGACAGGACUGUGAUCUUUUGUCUGCUAAAAUCCUCGUCUCAGCUCCGAAUCUGAUCCGGUGAUGCUUUACGGACAGAUUUUAUCAAGCUGUCAUCCACAGAGACUUCUUCGCUUAACUUUCUUUUUUUAAUCACACCUCCAGCUUUGCUUAAUUAUUUCAUUUGAUAUUUCACAUGUUGUACUUGAAGGGUGGAAGCAUUGUAAUUUGGAAGGUAUAACAAAUAGCACAGGUUGGUAAAUCAGGGAGCCUGGCUGACAGUUCUUGCCUGUCAGCUUUUUUAAUUAUCACAUUAUCAGCUUUUAUAGGCACAGUGCGCGGUGCAGAGCUGCAAAUGAAGGCGCCACACAUUGCACGCUGAGUCGAAAGCAUUUCUCAAUUGAUGUCAGCAGUUAGAAAGGAUCCGUGUCUGGAUGAUGAGUGCGAGGUGAUGUGGUUAAGAGGACGGUAAUGGUGUGGUUAUACAACAGGAUUCUGUCCAACGUUUAAUUUAGAGUCACAUCUCGUGGGUUAGUUCUCUUUCAGAACCAAUAUACGAAGCAACUCUAAGUAACACCGACUCCGUAAUGAGCCCUGCGACAACUCUCGCUAUUUAUAUUACACCGCCUUCAACUGAGCUCCAUGUACAAUUAACUAAAUGCCAAACACAGAAGCUAAAUGAGGAAGUGCUUAUGUUGUGCCACAUACAAGUGCAAGCCAUUUAUUUUGAGUACUUGUGGAUACCCAAAUGAACACUUCAGUUGUUGUCAAUAAUAAUCUUGUUGUCAUGGUAUAAAGCUGUUUCCAAAAUGA